UGCUUUGAUUUUGAAUACUAUUAGGGUUUGUUUGGUUCGCGCUAUCUUUUAAGAUUUCUAGUAAUUCAAUAAAAAUAAAAAAAUAUGCUGGUGUUUGGUUAAACGCACUAAGUAAUCUAGUUGUUAAUAUUAGAUUUACUUGGAAAUGAGAUUCAUCCCAAAAUACUAAUCUCAUUCCCUUGAGGGAGGGUGGGUAUUCUCAUGUUAAUAAAUUAGGGUAAUCAUAAUAUGUCUAAUCUCUUUCUUUCUUCCUAUCCGCUGGCUAGUUGGUAUUAUUUUUCUUUACACUCUAAUCCUAUAUCUCUCUCUAAACUUAUCUUUUUCUUUCUAAAGUUCAACUCUUUUUCUCUCUCUAAAUUAAGCUCUCUCUCCCCCUCUUUUUCUAAAUUCUCAACUCGCUCACUUCCUCUAACAUCGACUCUAUUUCUCUUCCUAUUUUUUUAAUUAUGCUCUCUCUCUCUCUAAUCUAUAUUCUCUCUCCCUUUUUUCUAAAAAAAUAUUAAUUUUUUUCAUAGCAUUAUCUAAAAUUAAUUAAAAAAAUAAAUAAAUUAAUCGUUUAUUUUUUAUAAUUUUAAAUAAUAUGACUAAAUAAUAUGACCGUGCGAAUCAAACACAGGAAUACCAUAUUCUUAAUAAUAGAAUGAAUAAGAAUAAGAUUGUCGUAUAUCUUUUUAUUCCUAAUAAUCUUUUAUAGUGCGAAACAAACGCACCCUUAUGAUCAUAAGCUACCGAAACUAACUAAGAUCACCAACUAAAUUAAAG
This 762-nucleotide long non-coding RNA is filed under the name Ananas comosus (pineapple). RNAcentral describes it as "long non-coding RNA (ACOM_LNC021752)". The record is from RNAcentral. Lineage: Eukaryota; Viridiplantae; Streptophyta; Magnoliopsida; Poales; Bromeliaceae.